This 21051-nucleotide long non-coding RNA is filed under the name Gallus gallus (chicken). RNAcentral's name for it is "lncRNA (ENSGALG00010005912.1)". Lineage: Eukaryota; Metazoa; Chordata; Aves; Galliformes; Phasianidae. The record is from RNAcentral.
CGGUGGCCGCGGGGUGGCCGAGGCUCACCCCCGCGCAACGGAACUGUUGGUGCGCUCCGACGGCGCGGAAGCCUCCGCCGAGCGCCGCCUUCUGACAGGUACUGAUGGGCUCCUGUGAGGUGGGUGGUGCCUGGGGCCGUGGCCGCGGCUACAAGCUGGAGGAGGUCAGGGAGCGUUUGGCAACUGCUCUCCUUAUGGGUUCCUUCUAACUCGGAAUAUUCUGUGGUUCUAAGUGUGUGUGAACUUUUAAAAACAAAAAGCAGAUGAGGUUAUUUCUGUUGUUGAUACUACAUAAUGAAUCCAUCCUGAUUGGAAACCCAUUCCCAACUCCCCUUCCACAGGCAGGGCUACCACCCAGCAGCUCAGCUGCCCAGGCCCCCAUCCAGCCUGGCCAUGAGUGCCUCCAGGGAUGGGGCACCACAGCUUCUUUGGGCAGCUGUGCCAACGCCUCACAGCCCUCUGAGUGAAGAAUUUUCUCCUUAUAUCUAAUCUAAAUCGCCUCUAUUUUAGUUAAAAGCUAUUCCCCCUUGUUUUAUCACUGUCAGACCAUGUAAAAAGUUGGUCCCCCUCCAGCUUAUGAGCUCCCUCCCCUCAAGUACUGGCAGGCCACAAUGAGGUCUCCCCAGAGCAUUCAGUUCUUCAGACUGAUCAACUCCAACUACCUCAGCCUGUCUUCAUAGGAGAGGUGCUCCAGCCCUCCAGUCAUCUUCGUGGCUCUCCUCUGGGCACUUUUCAACAGCUGGUCCUGGAAAUGCUAUCCAGAAGCUACUGAAGAUUGCAUUAAAAAUAUUUUGGUUUUGAUAGGUACUGGAACAUGUCAAAGGCCAACUUUCUGCAAAUAUUUAUGGCUUGUCCAUGUUUGGAAGCUCCCCAAAGAGACAGUCCAAAAUAAUGAUUCCAGAGAUAAAGUGGGACCUCUACCUGGCAUGUGGAAACAACAGCUCAUUUCCCCCAUCCCACUUAAUCCUGUGCUUCAAACCAGCACACACACUACAUCUGGUAGAUUGACAUGGAACAAAGAAGUCCCAGUCGCAACCACAACUGAUUUGACAUAAAAAGCUAUUUUUAAAUAUUGAACAUCCCGGUGCCUUUUUAGCGGAGGUUCAGUUUCACUUCCCAUGUUUUCCUAUGGAGUAGAACCUUUGAUUCAGACCCUGGCUCAUUUUGCUCUACAAAGGAGAGAGAAACAACCCCAACUUCAAGGAACACGGUAGCUCAGGGUGUUUGUAUCUUAGAUCUGUUUGCUAAAAAUAGCACUGCCAUGGGGAUUCAAAUAACAUCAUUUACAAGGCAGAAGGUGCAUCAGAAGAGAUGUAAUAUAUCACCUUUAAUUACUUCUGUAAUUCCCAAGCCUGGCAAUUUGGGCACAAAAUUUUGCUUUUAAAGUCAGCCUACUAAUAUGUAGGAUUAACAGUUGACAGAAUUACAGAGAGGCUGAUAAGUCAUAAUCACAAUUCCAAAUUCUAGCCAUCUAGAUUUAGCUGAAAAUACUGCUGCUUUUGCAGAGGAGAAACAGAAGUGAGGUUAUGUGGGAAAGAAGUGAGAUUGUGUAUUGUGAUAAGGUGGGACGGGGAUGAAGGAAUGGAAAAAAGACAAUGAAAAAGUAAGAAAGGGUGUUUUAAAGAAAGCAGAACAAAAAGAAAAUCAUGGUGACAAAAAUAUGUCUGCUCUCAACUGUAAAAACAAACAAACCAAGCAUUACUGAAAAAACCAGGACUUGGAAGUGCAUAGGCCCUACUCUUCUGCUGCUGCUUUUCUGCUGCAGGUUUGAUUUUUCACUCCCUUCCACCCUACUAUGCCAGGUGUGGAAAAUGAUACACUUUAGCAUACUUGACAGAAAUCAUUAGAAGGUGAUUUUGGAAGCAAGUCCCCAUCAGGCAGCUGGGCCAGUAGCUGUGGAUUUGCUCCCUGCCAAAGUUGGGGCCAAGGCCACUGCCUCAGCACCUGCAGGUCUUGCACACACACGGGUACAUGGCUAGUGAUGCAAAAUCACAUCCUCACAUUGAAGAGUCUGUAGGUUUGGAGAUGGGACAAGAAAGGACAACAUAUGUCCUAUGUGUAUUUGGGUAAGAAACUGAUACAGCUCAUUAAAACGUAAAAGUGAGAUAGAGGAAGGGGUAAAGCUUGUUGUUAGUUGUUAGUUUAUUUGGGGGGGGGGGGGGGGGGGGGCUGUCUGGUUGGGGUUUGUUUUGUUUUUCCUUUGUUUUGUUUUGUUUUGUUUUGUUUUUUUACUUCAAGACAAAGAAGAACUACAAACCUCAGCCAGUCAGGAGCAACCACCAUCAACAAGCCUACUGCCCACUGUGGGAGAAGUAACAGUUCUAUUGAUGCAUCUCAGUGGGGAUGAAUUUCAGAAACAGCACUGCAGCCUCACUUUCUCUUUAGAGAGGUAUCAACACACAUAUACAAGAUCCUGGAUUUGUGCAAGUCACACAGGGACAAAAAUUAAGUUUGACACACUGUGUCUAGUACUGACAGACAGCAGAAGAAAUGAUUUCCUUGAGCUACGUGCUGUAGCUUUUACUAUAGUCGGUUUUGAUUGUGGUUUAAGAACAGAUACUGUAUUUCUAGCAUAUACGUUGUUGCUACUCCAGUCCACAGGGAAGCUGAAAAUUUUCAUGCUUUUUGUGUGAGCUUUGUUAAAAGAUUUGAGAUGCUGAACAAACAAAUUUUUGCUAUUCAGUUAAACUUUAAUAUCCUGAGUAAGACAGCAAUGUGCUUAAUACAGAGGAACUUGCAAAGGUUUCUUAACAGAAAUCUUUCUCUGAAAAGGGAAUAGCAUGUCACUAUUGUUUUAUUGAAUCAGAUUUUCUAGUUCUCCUUUUCUGCGUAUUUAAGUAAGUACUGUUGGAGGCAUGAGGAGAAGACGAAAAUGAUUCAAACAGUAGAUUCUCACUUAAUAAUCAACUAUUUCCUGGAUCACAAGGGGUAUUUUUCCUAGGUAUUUAGUUAUGUAAAUAAAGCUCUGUGUAGUGCAAAAUCCUACAGUAAAAAUAAAUGCCUCAGAACAAUACCAGCAGUUUUCUAUUGUUCACCAGAUAUUACUCCUGGGGAUAAAAUCAAUUUGAGAUUUCCUGUGUUUUGUAUGAUAAGAAUCUCCUGUCUGUCCACAAACAGAUUACUUUUCACAACAUUACGAAUCAAUUAAUCAGUAAAAUGGACCAAACCAUGCAGACAGAUUAAACAAACUUUUCCUCAUCAUUUAAAAAAAUAAAUAAAAAUCUAUAUUUAAAGCAAUGGUGAAAUUUUUGACUGCAAAAUGUAUCUUAAUACACUGCAAGCAAUUGAACAGCCAUAGAAAGAUCAUCUCAAGAUUACUAGUCCUAUUUAAUAGUCCUAACAGUCAGGCAGAUGCAAUUCAUCUAUCACACCUCAGGCCAACUGAGGAGAAAGAAAUACAAAUUAAAACAAUCAAACAAAAAACAAAACAACAAAAGACAGCCUCUUAUUGUAUGCAAAAAGAUGGGACAAAUAGUAUUUUUCAAGUCACCAUUUUGUUAUUUGAGUUCGCACCAUUCCUUGAAAGCACUCUGUUUAGACUCCUUGUGAGUGUAAAUCAUUACUUUUGAGGAAAAAAUAAUGAGAAAAGAGAAAGAGGAACAUGGAAGUUUUUCAGAUUAAGGGCACGAUCCUGUUUCUGUUGGACAAAGUUCUUCUAAGUUCCAUGUUGCCUGCAUUUUGUGUGUCUGGAGAGUUUAAGGAAAGCCUGAAACAGUCCAAAUAGCAUGUAAAACCUUUGAGCUAUACCCUGUUUAAUAAUUCUUUCAACCCUAGUUGUAGCUGAAUCAAAUCAACAAUAACAGUAACUACAGGGCAUUCCUAUUUAUCUUAGGAGCCACCAUGUGCAUAUCUACUUAAGGAGCAGAUUCACAAAGGAAUUCAAGCCAACUUAAGCCUCAUUACUGAUUUAAGAAAGCAAAACAAAACUGCUGUCUUCUUUUUACCUCCAUGAAUCUGGCUCUGCUUCUCAAGUGGAUGUACAGUGUAACAUUGGCUGGAGAAAAGAACUGAGGCAUCUGAGAAUUAACCCUGUUAUUAAAAAGCAUUCCAGCUUACUGCUUGAACAGAGUUGCACCAAUAGAAGAAAGCAGUGGCUCAGGGCAGGAGCUUGGACCAGGCUUUGCAAAGGAAACCUAGGCUGUGAGUGACCUCAGCCAUCUGCAGAAACACCAGGAAGCUGAUGAAACCUUACUUGGCAUGAAAUGGGCAUGCAGGGACAACACAGAGGAUAUAACUUUGUCACUGUUUUGGUUUGGAUGAGAAGCAUGCAUGCUUUGGGUUCAUGUGAAGGAAUGAUUUUAGAUGUAACUGAACUAUAAAGUGCUUGCUAUGGGUGCAGUCAUUGUGUUCACUCAGUCCACAAGCCAAAAAGCAUCAGCUGAUCCAGUCUACAAAAUUCACUCCCAGGCUGCACUAAUUGCAGAUAUAGACAUAACUAUGCCUUCCAUCCUGGGGUUAACUUCAGUCAUUUACUGCUGCCUGCACUGAAAGCACUGCUGCUGUUUGCUCAGCCAAAAAUCUGACGACAGAGGGGCAGAGUAUGUGUAACUCUGUUUAUUAAUAUUUAUCUUUUCCCCACAAAUCUUCCUGCUGAAUGAAGGAAAUAUUACUUAUAUUCUGCUAUACUAUUGGAGUUCUGGAGAUGCACUCUCAUCUGAAGCAUAAAGGAAUUAAUUCUGAUUUGGAUUAUUUUGUCUCUGGUAUUCGUAGGGAUGUAGUUCUCAGCUUUGGAAGAGAUGGAAGGCAGGGAGAAAGUCAAUAUCCUCUUUCAGCAGCUUCCAGAUAGCACAGUGCCUACAAGAGAGUCAUCUACACUGUUAGGAACUAGAACUGAACAGAUAAUUAUUGUUUUUCUGUUUGGGAAAGAAAGGAAACAGAGGAAGGAAAAGUAUGUUAGAUGGAGUCUGAUAGUGCUGGCUCCUAAACUGGAAAACCAUGACCACAGGAUAUAAUCUCUUUCUUCCAUUUCUUGUUUUUUUGUACUAGAUAUGACAAGGUGAAGUCUGAAAGAAAACCAAGUGAUUUGUUACGAAUCAUUUAUUCUUCAAGUUGAUCAAGAAAGCAGUGAUUGUUACUGAUCAGGCAAUACUAUGUAAAUAAAACAAUAGGAGGCAACAUAGGAAGCUAAAUUGGCAUGGAUUGCCAGUUUACAAAGAAACACCAAGGGAAAGAACAACAACAUGAAAAAAAAAACAAUGCACAAAGCUGUACCUGGGCAGUACUGCCAGGAAAAAGACAUUGGAUCCAAAUCUGCAAUUAGAUGAACAGGGCAUGGUAAUGGUUUCAGGGUAGAAAGAUUAAAAUUGAUAGGAAGUCCUUGUGGCUGAGGUGGGAGGCUUGGUGGUUCUAUAUGGAAGCCCCAGAUACAGCCUGCAUCAGACAAAAGGAACUGAGAAAAAGUACUAAGGAAGGUUUAUAAAUUUAUUUGGAUUUCAGUAGAUUAUUUUUCUAUAUGCUGACAACCAAAAAUAAAUUUCAGGUACUGCUUUUUUUCAUUGCUACUCCUUCAUGAAAGAAGCAUGGAAGUUAAGUAAUUUCAUGAGUUAACAAAAAGAUUUUAUCCUUUCUCUUAAGAUGCUAACAAUUAAAAUAUAUGUAGCAGGAUUUUCCCUAGGGUAACUCUACAGUUCUUCAAGGUACAAGGGCAUAUUAGAGAUUACACAGUUAUUAUAAAACCAGUGUAAUGGCAACACAUGCUGUCACCUGGCAGUAUGUGUCUAAUUGAUCUUACUCAAUUACUUAAUUUUAUGACUCGCUUUAGUAAAGGUUAAGACAUUGAUGUUUUAGAAGGCUGUGCUGAAUAAUACCAUUGUUGGAGAUUACUUUCUCAUGUAAUUGCUUCAUUAAAAGCAGGUAAAUAGAGGAAGAGUCAUCCUGUCAGGAAGCACACUGAAACGGAAUAUCCUAUGUCAAAGCAACAGCAUUACUGUCUUACAUACGUAUGUUUUCUAGUGUCUCCCUUUUUGGAGUGGGAAAUACUUGCCUCUUUUUGACUUGCAUAAAUGACAGUAAACUCAAGUGAGAAACUCCUCUACAAUUUUAGCAUUUUUAAGCAUGACAGGGAACAAGAAGGAAAGGCAGCUCAGUGGGCUCUUUGUAGGCCUGUCAACAAAUAUUUGUACUUCAACAAGUAUUUUCAACUGCAAAGCCACAGUUUAUGUGUAGGUGGGAAAGGGUGCUGUGGUUCAGAAGCAAUACUCACUGCAUGCAUGUUCAAGAUAUGCAAAGGAAAAUUUAUUCCAGAGCCUUUGCUAUGGAGCAGUGUCUCUGUAUCCAGUCCUCUUCUGUUAUCCCAGUUUCCCUAAUGCAAUUUUAGUCAGACAAUCUGUGGUCAUAGGCUGAGUGAAGUAUUUAGUCCUUCACUGAAGGGACUUGUGAAGCCACAUUUAGGGAUCAGGAGGGAAAAAUGUGUCAUGUUUUUUCAUACAGCCCUGUGUUGUUACGAUGUUUCCAGUUCUUCUCUGUCAAGGUGAUGCUCAUAUACCUUCACAGGAAACUGCAUGCUGUAAAUAUCGUGGCUUUGAUAACCAUUGUUGAUGUUAUCCUAGCAGGCAAAUAUCAGUACCUUCAAGCUGUUGCCUGCUAGAACCUUCUCAUCCUUUCUUUCUGUCUUUCCCUGGACCUGCCCAGCAGCCAGCUGGAAGACACCCUUCCAGCUCCCAACACUGGGUGUGUCUGGUCUCCCAGCAGAGGAUGCUGAAGGAGUGUCAAUGGGAGCAGAUACAGUUCACCUCACAGGAGAUGGGACCAUUUCUGGGGGAGAUACAGGAGGAGAUUCAAUAGAGCUGUCUCAGUAGAGCAGUGGAGGCUCUAGAAAGGGCGGCACUGCUUCACCACCAUGUUUUUUCUCUACUCUUUUUUGUAGGCCUUUUUCUGGGGAUGCAGAAUGCCCAUGCCCUGGAUUCUUUGGUGGAGUUUUACUGUACGCAUCCUUCCCAUAUACAGCAGGAGCAGACCUAUGCAAGCUCACUCUCCAAUAAACAACAUUUAAACCAAAUGGUUUAGUUCGAUCUCUUGACUCAUUUGUCUUUCACUUAGAGCAGUGAAUCUAAUGCAACAAAUAUCAUAAUUUCCCUCCCUUUGUUUUUUUGUUUGUUUGUUUGUUUGUUUGUUUUGUCUGCUAUCCCCAUUGGAACACAUCUGCUUUCAUUGGUAGUAGUGCUACCAUGGAAGCACAUGCUGCUUCUCCACUCUGCUCCUUCAUUGAGUUCGGCCACUUCUUACUCUUCUAGAACUAAAGUAUAUGAGCUUGCAUUUGGCUACUUCAGAAGGCAUGUUAGUUGAACGAGCCCAGUUUAUCCUGGAAACUGGAUCACACUCUGUAGUGUCCAUUGUCAUCACCAUUUAUUACUUCAUCUGCGCUUUUGGCUCUGCAAAAAGAGACAAAAAAAAAACCCCAAACAAACAAACAAACAAAAAAAACCCAAAACAUUAUUUGAUUUUUUAAAUAUGUUUCCAGAUUAUUCAUAAAAUUAUUACCGGCUCUUGGGUUUUUAAGGUUUUGAUGCUAUUUUGUAAGAUCUGUAAUAUAACAUAUCUUUUUUUCCCAUGUGCCUUAUUAAUGUUAUGCAAUACUAAAUCAUUUUAGUUUGAAGGCCACAAAGUAUCAAGUUAAAUACUGUUCCUAAGUGUAUUACCUCAGCACUGUUGCAAACAUCAAUAUAUUUUUAAGUUCAGCAGAGAACAACCUGAGUUCAGCUGACGAGGCCUUUUUGCAAAACUCUUAGAGUGUUAAUCUGCUUUCAUUGACUGAACUUCAUCUUUUACAUUUUAUAAAUUAUGAGGUCAACCACGUUGUUUGAGUUCAGCUUUGGAGGAUUUCCAUUGUACGCUCAGCAAGGCAGAAAACUCCUCAGCUAGAUCUUCUACAACUACUGACUGAAAGAUAUCUGUGCUCUCCUUUUACCAUAUUUGUUUCUAAUAAAUGUGUUUUAGUAUUUAACUUGUAGACUGGCAAACUGUACAAUAUUCUGAUCAGAUAUAAAUACUUCAUCUUCUCCUUAUCAAAUACCACUAAGCAGCUAACCACUGAACACAUUUUGCAUCAUUAGCUCUCUUAUGUCAGUCUAGUACCAAGCAUUUACUGACAUUCUAACUUAUUUUCACAGAACCACAGGAGUUGCUACCACCUCUCUGGGCAGCCUUUUCCAGAGCUUCGUCACUCCAACACAUCUUUCCCAUCAUAUUGAUCCGUGCAAUUGCUACACUCAGUAAAUACAAACACAUAGGUAAUGCCCACUAAUACAUAAUUACGUGCACAUAUGAAAGAGCUUGGCUGAGCCUGUGCUCUGUCUGCCCUUGUUUGAUGUAAUUAGUUGUGACCACUUUUCUUCAGGCAAUCACAAGCUUCCAGCCUUGCAGUCAUUCCACCUCUACCCACCACACUCGGGUCUGUAUGCGUGGUACCUAUUUUGUGCUGAAAAAUUGUUGCUGGUAACUUCUGGAAACUCUAAUGCAGCUUUACCACUGUCUUCAUGACGCUUCCAUUCUUCACAAAUCAGUGAUGAUAAUGCCAGUUUUAUUUUCACAUAGCAUUGACAGGCACUUAAGGGCUUAUUAGCUUUUCUUAUUUUUUUUUUUUUUAAAUUGCUUUUAGCAUUGAUGACUAAAUGCUUUCCAUACAUUAUUCAUUUUUACAUUGCAUCAAACUGUAAAGAAGUAUGUGAUAUACUAGAAAAACUACAGUUUUGGUCCCUGAUUGAUUUUCUUUCAUAGCUUUUGUGUUUCAUUAUCUUUCAGUGAUUAAUGAUAUUUUAUAGCAUUGUAUUAUUAAUGUAGUCAUACAAAUUAAAUUUGUGUAUAACUGACAUCUAAAUCUUAACCAAGUGGCACCAAAAGCAACAUAGCAAUAGACAAGAUAAGAGUUCAGCCUUGGUAUUACCAUUUUCCUCAUGUUGCAUUUGAUGCUACAGAUAAGUAGUAACUGACAAAGAAAAUUCAUUGACUUGAUUCCAACUGACAAGAUUUCACAUAUGCUGGAACAUAUCUUGUUGCAGUUUCUGUAAAAAUGGAUACUGUUGUUUAACUUUUCUUUUAAAUUAUUUUUUGCUUUACCUAAGAUAUUCUAAGGUGUUCCUACACUUGCUUUCAUUGUUCAUCAGCAGGUAGCAUAUGAGUAAACAGAAAGCACACAGGAAAUAUUGCUAUCCUUCUGUUGUUAUUACAAAUUUGAUUUGGCGUGUUAAUAACGUGACUGUCAAAGCUGUUUAUAUUUAAAUGUUCAGUGAAGAUAAUCAUCACUAUAGAGUUUGGGCUCAGAAAAGGGUGAUAUCUUCCUCCAGAAGCAAAUCUGUGAUGGAAAUUUCCAUGCAGAUCACUUGACAGGAGAUUACAAGUUUUUCUGCAGGCCAGAUACAGACUGAGAGAUACAGAACAUGCAGAUGCUUUCAUCUUGGAGUUGCCAAAUGUACUGCAGUUCCUUUUUGCUUUCUUACUCAAAACCCACUCAAAAGUGGGUCAUACCCAAUUUUGCUUCAGUAAAAGCAUUUAAGUAACAAAAUAUGCAUUGGAUUCUGGAAAAUACAUACCGAGUCAUGCACAGGUAUUACUCAUUCUUUGUGAUAUUACAUUCAAAUUUUCCCAGUAUUAAAGAAAAAUAUUUUUUCGUAAUAAGUAAUACGCUGCCCCAAAGAUAUUGAAACACACUCCAACUGUACCUAAUAGAGCUGGUGUAACCUCCAGUCAAAUGAGAAAAAUCUGCAUAGAUUCCAACUCAGCUAUGUGUAUCACAACAUUUCCAGUACUUGUAGAAAUAGUUGGCAGCGCUACUUCUGUCCUUCAGGUGUAAUCCAAGCUAAAACCUGCCUGCAGGCAAAUCACGUAUAACAAUUCAGAGUUUAUCCUCGGACAGAGAGCAUGUUGGGUCUUGGCUGUACUCUCUUUGUGCUUUGUGCAAUAAUUUGUACUCCUGUGAAAUAACUACAAAAAAACCACCACCUGUCUGACUGGGGAUUUGGUUGUCUUUUACAGAGCUCCACAGGGCUAUGUGAAGAAGGCUUCCAAAGGAGAGAUCACGUCUAGAACCCUCCUGUAGAUGGAUCACAGGCUGUUGGGCAUGUUGAAAAUGCUGUUGCGUUGGCAGACAAGCUUUGGCAAGCUGCUUCAUAGAGGCUGAAAGGAGGUUUUGCUUCCAGCUCCACUCCUCUGCUGGAAUUACUGUCUGCACAGUAAUGGGGGAAUGCAGACCUUUGACUUAGCAGCUCUGGUGCAAAGGGUAAAACAUUCACCUUUGCUAAAGGUUAAAACUGAAAUGCUUUUCUGGAAGCAUAGGUGAAUUUGCACUAAAACAUCAAACUGAGUAGAAGAAAGAGAAGCACUUGAUUCCUCCUGCUGCUCUGGUGGUUGGGAAGAUGGGAUGGAAAAGGUGAGCGGCCUUCCAUGAGGUGCAGCACAGAAGGGUGAGAAUGGCAGCAUUUGAAAUUGACUCAAUGUAACUACUGGUGCUGGUAUGAGUGACUGGCAAAUGACCAUAGUGAUUUAUGUGGAUUAUUAAGUGUCGAUAAAGAUAUUAUGUCGAUAAAGAUAUUAAUAUUAAGUGUUGAUAAAGAUACAUGAAAAUUGCACAGAAUGUGGAGCACAGGUUUGUAACUUCGAUCACCAAUUACCAAAUAAUUCCAGAGACUUACCUGUGAACUGACACUAUUAAGAUCUUCUUUAAGGUAUGUCUAAAUGGAGAAAUUCCACCAAUGUGGUGAUGGAAGAAUUAAAUUUGUGAUUCUUGCUAGACUUAUCAAGUUCCAAAUCUAAAAGUGCUCCAAAACAUUCUGGUGCCACUGCAAAAAUUAAGCUUGAGCCUAAGCCAAUGCAAAGGAAUCUUCCUGACUCUGUACAUUGGCUUGACUAUAGAAAGGGCAAAUGGCCCAAUUGUAAAAUUCCUGGCUACACCCAGAGUUGUUAAACUUCAGUAAAAAUAUAUAACAUUUUGUGGAAUUUUUAUAUUCCCACUGUUUGGUAAGGUCUAAAUAAAGCCUUUGAAGCUUCAUUUACUCAUUUUAAAUGCAGGUGUUCAAACUGGAACACAUACAUUCACCAAAACAAGGCACAGCACAAAUAGUAAAGAAGGCGAUGUGGUGGAAGACGGCAUACAUCAGUAGGAAAACAGUUAACCAAGAUUUAGUUCAUACAUAUUUAAUUGAACAUGUAUUUAAGCCAAGUAUUCUUUCCCAUAUCUUUGCAUACAUACUUCUAUGUCUCUUUCUGUAUAGCGAACUUUUCAGUCCUCUCGUUUCCCCAUGUUUUUAUACACUCAUGAUUUUUUUUUUGUACUGCUUAGACCUGACCUCUCUUAUUUUUUCCCUGACUGUAUUCACAUCUGGCUUUUAUCAUUUUGUUUGUCUGGCUAACUGCAAAGCAAUACCCUCCAAUCUUGCUAGUCUAUCAGCAGUGUGAAAAUACCACGAAAUGUAAACCACCAGCAAAUGUGUGAACUACCAGAAAGCUGCUAUUUGCAGAGUGGUGAAUUACAGAGAGCGUAAGAAAAGCAGCAAAAAUGUUUUGUUGUUAACACUGUCACUUCUUCCCCUUCCCCCCCCCCCCCUUUUUUCUUUUUUGCCAUGGAUUUUGUAAUGGGUAAGAUUUACUUAAAAAUAACAAUGAAUUGCAUGAACACCUUGAAAUUAACAGUAGUUAAAUAUUGACAUUAAUUUCAAUAUUUUAAAAAUCAGGUUUUGCAGAAUAUAUCUUUGUAUAUUGUUCCUGAUAUUUGGCAGACUGCUCUUGGCAAAUGCUCCUGUAGUGCCUCAGUCACAUCAACGCACAGAUUGCUGUGUUGCCAUAAAACUAAUUUCAUUUGCAAUUUCCACAUGGGGAGAGGAAAUUGCAAUUAAGUGACUGAGGCAUGAAUGUGUUUCGUUCUGCUGCAUCUGCGGUCAGGAUGAUUGUCUGUAUCGAAGUGAUGGUACAGACACGUGGGUCAGUGUCAUUUGAAAUUUCUUCACCAAGAUUCAGCAAGUCUGUUAAUCCAUGUUUAAAAAUAUGACUAUAAAAUAACAUUAAUAUAUUAUAUUUAAUACUUAUUAUCUCUCUUCUGCUGCUCAGAGGGCUAACUGGCAUUAGUCAGGGGAUGGUGAGCAAUUUCUCGUGCAUCACUUGUUAUACACAUUCAUAUAUAUAUAUAUAUAUAUAUGUCUUUGUCAUAACUAUUAUCCUUUUCCUUUUCUCUAUCUUAGUAAAUAGUUCUAUCUCAACCUGCGAGUUCUACUUCAUUUUUUUCAGUUCUCUCCCCAUCCCACUGGGAAGUGGGGGGAGUGAGCAAAAAACUGUGUGGUGCUGAGCUGCUGCUGGGUUAAAACAUAGCACUCAUGACUGUGCUUCACAAGAUCUGUCAUAAACAGGUUCUGGGUUAAAGGAAAUGGCAUAGCUUGUAGCAGCAGCAACGUAAAACCCAGAUCUUAUCCUCAGUGAAUCUGUAAAAUAUUUUGCUGCUGACUUCACUGAGGUCAGAAGUAGACUAUCAAUUUGGUAAACUUGUUUUUAACCAUCAGUCUAGAUUUUCAUCAUUAAAAACAGGGGAAGAUGUGAGCUUGGAGGGUCUACUCCAAACUAGAAAUGUAUCCCUACGACAUCCAAAACUUCAUUCCCAAAUAUUAACGGCCAAUGAAAAGAACAAAUAAAUUCACUACAAAAUAAUAAUUAUUUCAGUCCCUUUGAUUUCAUAAGCUGAAUGCUUUUAUUAGAUAGUAUAUUUGAGUAAUGCUUGAGGAAUUGUUCCAGUAGUAAAAGGAAACACAUAUUCUUCCCUAGUUACAGCUGCAAUGUUGAUAUAAGGCUUUUAACCAACGGUCAGGACAAUGUGUGAAAGUGUCAUGGUAUAAAACAUAACAAGCUGCUGCUUCUCAUUUCUUAGCUAUGUCUGAGUGAAAUGAAAGUUCAUUGGAGAACUUGUGAAUAAACUAUAGGGAAAUAUGAACCUGUAUAGGAGCUUAGAAAUGCUGCACAGAGAUUAUGACAUUGCAAAGUGCUUUUGAGUUUGUUAACGCUACACAGUAAAGCCAAACUGGUAGAAUAAUUAUCUGAUUUUUUUUUUAAUUAGAACUUGUUAGUGUUUCAUAGAUUUCAAUAUCAAUCUAGUACUAAUAUUUUGAAAUCAUAAUGCUCAAGUAGUACUUAAAGUGGAUGCUAUUUUUAGCAGUAAUUACAUUUUUCGAUAGAACUUAACUCCAUGUGACCUCUUUGUAGAGCCAAUAGUAUUUUGCUAAGUUAGCAGCUUUUUGCUAUUUUUCUUGGGGGAGAAGUAUGUUUGUUUAAAAAAAAAUCCUUAAAAAUAUUAUUUCCAGAAUGAAUAGGACAAUAAUAAUCUAAAUAUAGUUGGCUCACUUCUAAUAAUUUUUUCCUCAGAAACAGUUUCCAAGUACAACCACUGGAAAUAGGCAAAUACUAAGAGACUGAUGACAUUCCCUAAAGACUGACAGCUUUUCUUAUUUAUAUAUUUAUAUUACAUAUUUUUACAAAACAUAUGUACAUAUAUACAUGCACAUAUAUUUAUAUUUUUAUAUAUAUUCAUAUAUAUACAUAUGCUGAAAGUUCACUUUUUUUGUCCUUUUCAUCCUCUUUUAGGAGCCUACUAGAUCCAUGGAUCAGGCAUGUAACAACCUUACAGUGACUGAAGUUCUGAAGUUCAAAGGGCUUUAGUUUUGUUUGUUUUCUAAUAUUUUGUCUAAACAUUAGGAUCAAAUGUGACAUAAUUAUUAAAAUGCUUCUGAUUUACUGAAUUUAAAGUCUCUACUCUUCUUGCUUUUUCAAUUUUUAAUAAUGCAUUAUCCAGUUUGCUUGUUAAGAGGACAUAUCUACUGCUCAGUUAUUGCUCUUCUGAUGCACAGAAACUUUUACGUACGCACAUUUUACAACUUUGGUAACCUGAAAACCAGGUCUCCACCAUAAGUAAGACCAUACUCUGUACUGAAAACUAGGUUGGAAUUCUCUGCAAGAUUGUGUUAAUGCUUAGUGAGGGCUCCUCAGAAUUGGUAGUUUGGUCGUACAUGCUCUAAGUGUACCAUAGCAAUGAAUUAAUACCUUCAUCAAAUGUCUGUAUUUGUACUGUUCAGUAGUUUCUUCCACUCUCCCCUAAGGUCACGGUUGUGUUGUUAAUGCUUUUCUGGAUCAAUAUCCUGAUAUGCUGGCACAGCAUACAUUGGCAAGGCUGACCUUUUGCUAGCACAGCAUAUGUCACAUCUUGGUGCAUGUCAAACACUCAUAGUACGUUUUGGCUAUAUAAAAGAAGUUUAUCACAUCUGGCCAAAGCAGUCUAAACACUUUUUAAAACUACUUGUACUACUAAAGACCUAUCAGUUAUAUCCACUGCUACUAACAAUUCUGUAUCUCUUAUUACCUUAGAUAUUCCUGUCAUUUUUGCCAGUGCAGUGAAGAUGAGGAUGACUUAUUGGAUCGUUGUCUCACUUACUUCAGAUUAGAAAGGAUAUGGUAAUGUGCAUAAGUUCAGUAUUCACAGAUUAAACAAAUUCUAGUAAGUGUUAUUGAUAGGAGAUAACAAGUAUGAAAUUUAUUAAUUGCUUAAAUUGACUUUUACACUGCAAGAAAAACAUCUUUUCCCUCUCCCCUGCUGUCACUGACAAGUGUGGAUGCAUGUGAUGUUUAAAAUGUUUAAUUAUGGCCAAGACAAUGAGCAUUAUUAGGUUCAGUGACCUGUAUACCUGUGUAUCUCCUGCUGUAGGGAACCUGUUUUAGUAGGGAGGUUGGGACUCUGUGAUCUCUAAAGAUCCCCUCCAACCCCUGCAAUUCUGUCUGCUUUUAAGUCACGUAUGCACUAUUUCUCUAUACUGACCUAACUCAGAUUCAUGUGCAGCCUUUGCUGCAUAUUCUAAUUUGGGGUUUUGUGUUAUGUACAAGUGGAAGAGUGGCAUGGUUACGAUGGUACUUUACAGGUGUUAUAGUUGGAAAGAUUACUGUGGUGAAAAAGAGAUGAUCAAAGAAGAAAUGCUCACCUGUAUCUGAGGAUCUAGGUUCACAGUGGAAAAACUCCAAAAAAGAGGGAUCUCCAGAAAGAGAUCCUUCCCCAGUGGUAGUCAGCCUUAAAUGGGGUCUAGCCUGGCUCCACCCCCUUCAGUCACACAGGUGAAUUGCCUUCACCUGAGCUCCCAUGGCUGACCCAGUCCUUGUCUCGGGUGAUCAAUCAGUGGUUCAGGCCAUGACUCAAUAGUUCCCAUACCUGUUAUAAUUUGAGAACUGCUUAUACAUGCAGCCUCAUACAGGAGUGUUUCGUAGAUUUGUUGGGUUUCUUUUUUUUUGAGUGUAUGUGUAUGUUUUCCUAGUUGUUGUUUUGUUUGUUUUCUUUCAUACGUUAAGAUAACUUUACAUAGGUGGCUUAAUUCUGAAUGUCUAUAAAGGCUGAAAGGUCCUACUUUGAUCCUCUGUACAGUUAAGGCCCACUGAGUGUGUAGAAUCAGAUCUCAACAGGUAUAUGGGUUAUUUGUUAUUAAUUUAUUAUUAGGAUGAUAAACAAAUGGAUGAUAAACAAGGGAAUAAGCAAAUAGUUUGGAUGAUGAACAGAUUCUAUUCAAAAUAUUUGCAAUAAAAACAAAGCAGCAUUUGCAAGUCCAAUCUCUUGUUAGCGAGUCCAAGUGAAUAUAUUAACCUUAAAAUAUACAUAGGCCAACAAUACCUGGGAUGUGGGCAGACACAAAUUCAUAGCUGGGAUUAGCAUAAUCCCUAUAUUUAUGUUCAAUAUAUGUGUGUAUAUAUAUAUUAUAAAGUGGAAAAGCACUAAGAAAAUAGGGUUUGAUUGGAGAGCAGAGGUGAAUCAUCUUCGUAAUUUGAAUUUGUAACUCAUGCACAGAAUGGAAACAGAACUAUAUACAAUAGCACUUUAUUGACUCAUUAAUAUUUAUUUAUAUACACAGUAAUAUACCAUCCAUCAACAAAUUGGACUCUUUAAUAAAUAGCAUUAACGUUGCUUGUUUUUUGCAUAAUCAGUUAAUUAAUGCUUCUGCAUUUGACAUUCUCAUUUACUUUAUGUUGCAUAAUGAUUUAUCUUGUUCUGUGCUGCAGUGUUUACUCCUAAGGAGUAGAAAGUUAAACAGUAAACUUUGUUAAACAGUAUUUUGUUGCCCAGUAGCUCGAGUAAUCAAAGUAAAAUCUAUUAACACAUUAAUUAGUAUCUUAAUAUUCAAUAAAAUACCCUUUUCUUUUCUUUUGGAGGCAUAAACAUCAUUGCAGAAGUUAUUAUUGUAAAAGUUCCAGACAGGUAAUUCUCAAAGUAUGUGCACGUGAAUCCUGUAAGCAGGACAUAAGGAGUACUGAAUAACAGCAGAAGUAUGUGGUCUGUAGGCAAAUAUGGACAAUAAAAUGGGGUGUUGACAACCUGAUUAGACUUUUUUUUUCCUUAAGCAUUGUUCUAGUUUUAAAGCAACUUUUAAAUUAAAUUGAAAUUUAAUUUAAAUCUCCCAUAUUUUUUUCUGUAAGGAUAAAAGCAAAUAUUGUCAGUUUCUUUACAAAAAACAAAGGUCAUGAACUCUGAUAAACCAGUAUACAAAUAAAUAAAUGGUUUUUAUAGCAUCCUCUCCCAUUAGAUUGCAGCUCCAUUCCAGGAGCAUGCUGGCCUUUUGAAUAUCCAUAAUGAAAAUGUAGUGCCAAAGGCAGGUGACAAAGCACUAACAAAUUGGAACAAAAGAAAAAAAGGAAAAGCAGUAUCAGGCAUGCUACCUGCUGGCAAGAGCAGUAUUAUUGACCCCGUAAGAAAGCAUGAGUUUCCAUUUACAGUGUAUGCAAGAUGGGGCUCAGAGUUAGUGAGGUUUGUAAGUGAAAUACAUCUUAAAAAAAAAAAAAAAAAGCAAAAAGUGAAAUAAUAUUCACUUGCUAUUUUUUUCUAUUUAUUUGUGGGAACAUUUGAGUAAUUAAACAAAUUUUUGUCCUAGAAGCAAAGCAACCAAAUAAACUGAUCCAAAUUAUUGGACUUCUGGUUUCCUGCACACCUAAAAAUAAAUAAAGAAAUAAACACUGAGAACUUUUUGUAUAUAGGAAUUAAGUUAGCACUGAUGGAGAGUUCUUUUUAGUUCUGUCAGUGCCUGCAAGUAUUCUCUGUAGGUAGUACAGAUACACCUGGCAAAAGCAAAGAAUGUCCAUCCCCUCCCACAUGGCACCUCCUGAUCACUGUGUAGCUAUACAGUUUUCUCUUUCCUCUUAUGCCUAUGUGUCUCCAAUGGCUCCAGCAGAACUCCAGGUAGCUGCCCAUUGCACACCGAAGAGGAGAUGCACUCUUCUUGCAUCAGCAGCAGUCAGGAAAGCCAUCAAAAUAAUAGUUGUACAAAGCAGCUGUUGUACAAAAAGUAGUUAUAGGAAGUUGUACAACAGCUGUGCAAAAAUGAUCUAAAAUAUACUUUUUCAGCGACAGUUGCCCAUAGAAAAAUUUGAUGAGCAAUUCUACAAGUUUUCACCUUUGAGAUUUCAUUUCACAAACACUUUUCAUCAUGAGGAAUAAAAAGUUGGCAGGGCCAUUGAUUUCAUCUAAAAUGUUUGAUUUAAAAUGCUUUCCGUCAAAUAAAUGUGUUUCAUGAUGUUCAACUGCCUGGUUUCUUUUUACAUGUUGUCGAUGUCAAUGCCAAAAACUACCUAAGAUUUACCAUGUUGGUGCCGUGCUAUAUAUUGCUCCAUGGCAUAACAGUUGUCAACUCCAAGGUCACAGCUUUAUUAAAGGAUCAAGAUUUACAAUAAUGUUAGCUCCAGCAUGAAUGCCUUCACACACAUCUUCCCAUACUUUACUUCUCUGAGGUCACCAGCCCAAUCUCUCCCCCUGCCAAAGCUACUAAUCCAUAAAUACUGCAGUCUCCUGAACUAAGUUCAAAUGGACCUAUCAUCUUCUUUGAGUAAUAAAUCUUUACUUUUGUUUAACACCUGCCUUCAGAGAAUGCAACCCUCUUUACCUGCAGUAAUUAAUUUACCUUCACCACGUCCUUAUGUGGUGCUUAAAAACUGCUCCCCUUUUACAGACUAAGGAACCGAGGCAUGAUGACAUGCUUGACUGCAGUGCCACAGGAAGACUGAAAAGACUUGGAAGCCUGUGUCUGCAUUUAAGUCUUGAAUGCUGAAGCUGAAAGCUGUGCUAUAUCCCUCCCAGUCCUGUAGUGUCUAAACUGAGGCCUCUGUAGCUCUUCUUGUAAUGUAGUUUCAUGGCAUUGAUAAGGCAAACCUGAAGUUGGCUAUAUGGGAGUGUAUAGUCCUAAUCGAUGCACACAGAUAUAAAGAAGUAUUCUGCAGACUCUUUAUCACUCAAGGUGUGGUUGGGUAUCUUCUGGUUGUGCUUGCACUGUUGAAGGGAUUACUGCUACCAACUUACAUACCCCAACAGGGGGUACUGCUACCCCUCAUGCCUUCUCAGAUCUACAGGCCUGGCUUCCUACUUCAUUUCAGACAAGGCCAGUUAAUUACUUCAAGCAGCAGUUCUUUGCCAGAUGAUGAACAGCUCAGCUAACUCAUAGCAACCUCCAACAGAGCAGUAAUGAGUACAGGAGAGCAGUUAGCUCAGGUGCCAGCAGAGCCCCAGGUACAAAAAUACACCUUACCUCAGUGACUCAGCUUCCCAGCUCUGUCCUCUCCCGUGAGUCCUAUGCACAAGAAGUUUUGCAGUUGGCACUGGACUUUCUCCUGAGCUGAAGCGUGCAGUAAAUAUCCCAGCCCAGAUGACUUUACUCUUAAAUUGCUUAUAUGAAUGGGUGAACUUCACGACUACUAGAACACAAAGGCCUUCAAAUCUUGCCUUGGUAUGAUCUAAAAAUGAAGUAUUUGGGACAGUCUUUAGCUUUAUUUGGGUCUUAGCUUUUGCUUGGAAGGACAGCAGCAUUUUUAGCCAGUCAUAACUGAGAUCCUGAAUAAGAAAGCAGAGCCACCAUCCUUCACAGUAUCACAGAAGAGUUCAUCUUCCAUCCUCAUCUAAAGUGAGACCUGAGCUUUAGCUUCAUUUCGUCUUCUCUCUUUUCCCUCCAAAGCGUGGGACCAGAUAGUGGGGGCAUUGCCUUGCUGCUGAUCCCUGGCAGAUACAAGCAGCAGCCCUGAGGGAUGGCUAAAGCCUAAAUAGUUUUGAAAUCCUGGAUGCUGAAGGCCUAAUUGAACCACAAGGCUUAAUGUUUUGUAUUUUCUCUUCCCUGAAAAUAUAAUUUCAGGCUACAGAGAGAGUUUCCUACCUAGCGAUCUCCUCUAGACAUCUGCUUGUGGUAUAGACAGUUGCAGUCCCAAGGAGAAAAGAAACAUGGAAGCGAAGGAACGAUUUAUCUUCAGCCCAUGGCGCAUAUUUUUAAUACAGGAUGAGAGACCAGGACCGACCUGAAUCUUAGUUUUAUUAUGAACCAAUAUAAUUUCCACAAAUGAAUAUAUUUUGAAACAAACACAGUCUCUAUGAAUUGGUUUCUUUUAAAAGUAUUGCCAGCAUUUUGUUUGUUGUUCAUCUGCCAAGAGUUACAUUUGAGGUGGUCAGUGCUAGAUGGGCUAAACAAGCCCAAAUUCUUCUCUACCUGGAGAGAUUUGUUGGCAUAACUACAUCACUGUAGUGGUCUCCUUACAAUUCCUUAUUCUGGAAGAAAAGUGCACAGCCAUGCUGCUGGAUUACUGUUAAACUUUUUUGUCAGUAUGAUUCAGUAGGCAGAAAUUUUUAACAAAAUAUUACUAAUAGCACUAAAACUACACACAUAAAUGCUGCUGACCACAGUGAGAGGUCAGAUGCAUUCCUGAGCUGCCUGUGCAAGGCGUCCCAUAAGCCAUCCUCUGAACCCCCCUCUGCAGCUGAUAUUGCUGGCACAGCCACCUCCGUACUAUGCAGUAUGUUCACCAGUGAUGUCCUACAGCAGAAUGACAUGCACACACAUAUGUUUUGUUUUGUGUAGGUUUACACUUCCAUUAGGCAGAGGUGCCACAGAGAGUCAGCCUUCUCAGUAUGCUAUGCUGCAGCAGCUGCCUAAUGUACACCACAGAAUAAUCUGAGCUGGAAAGGACCCUAAAGGUCACCUGGUCCAACUCCCCUGCAAUGGACAGGUACACCUACAGCUACAGCAGGUUGUUCAGUGCUCUGUCCAGCCUGACUUUGAAUGUCUCCAGGGACGGGGCAUCCACCCGUCUGGGCAACCUGUACCAGCGUUUCACUGUUCUAACUGUAAAACACCUUUUCCUUAUAGCCAGUCUAAAUCUCCUGUUUUAGUUUGAACCCAUUUCCCCUUGUCUUAUCACAACAGACCUUGCUAACAAGUCUGUUUCCUUCCUUCUUAUAGUCCCCCUUUAGAAGGCUGCUAUGAGGUCUCCCUGGAGUCUCCAGUUCUCCAGGUUGAACAGCCCCAGUUCCCUCAGCCUGCCCUCAUAGGAGAGGUGUUCCACCCCCUGGAUCAUGUGUGCGGCCCUCCUCCUCCAGCAGGUUUAUAUUUCUCCUGUACUGUACACCCAACUUAAGUUUCCCAGAAUGAAGUCCUAAAUUUAUUAGUUCUAGAAAGGGUAGCAGAAAAUGUUCAUUUAGUUAAUAAUCAAAACUCCUGAACAUUAUAACAGCUUAUAUAACAUGCCUUUAAUGCUUUGUGAAUACCUCCAUGUUUGAACCACUACUUUAUCAUCAAGAAGAGUGCAGAAAUGCCUUCACCAUUUAUGCAGAAGGUGCCUGCAAACACUUUCCUCUGAUUUCAUACUGUCAGCAAGCGUCAGUCUGUCCCUCUGCUACUACUACCUGAAAGAAAGGUGCCAAUGGCUCAGCUGGGUUGGCCAUAGAUUUGUUACCUCUCUGAGUGUCUGUACUAGACCCACUUGCUAACCUGUAGCACUUCCCCUAGCCACUUUGGGGACCAGCAUUUCGUAGCUGUUUCCACAUCCGCAUUUGCAGCAUACUCAACAUGGGCACGAUAGGGGGACAGGGACAUACAGUAGGGCAGGAUUGCCAGCAGCACUUGCAAGGCCCCAAGCGGGCAUCUGAACGUCAAGAACUUUCCCAGAUACGGAUUCUCUUAACUCUAGAAACUUUUGGGGGCCGAGAAGCUCUAAGAGCAGAGCGGGACAAGGCGCGGGUGCAGCGCGCUGCCACAGGAACAGGCCCAUAUCCGAGCUCGCCCACCCGCCGCCACAGAGGUCGCG